Molecule: small RNA, 259 nt
Filed under: Pan troglodytes (chimpanzee)
Lineage: Eukaryota; Metazoa; Chordata; Mammalia; Primates; Hominidae
Description: Metazoan signal recognition particle RNA (ENSPTRG00000052466.1)
Source: RNAcentral
GCUGGGUGUGGUGACGCUCACCUGUAAUCCCAGCUGCUCAGGAGGCUGAGGCAGGAGAAUCACUUGGAGCAGGGAGGUGGAGGUUGCAGUGAGCUGAGAUGGCACCAGUGCACUCCAGCCUGGGGACAGACUGAGUCUCAAAAAAAAAAAAAAAUGUUUCAGAGACAAAAUCUUGCUGUCACCCAGGCUGGAGUGUAGUGGUGCCAUCACAGCUCACUGUAGCCUUGAACUCCUGGGCUCAAGGGAUCCACCUGCCUCA